Cricetulus griseus (Chinese hamster) is the source of this 2108-nucleotide non-coding RNA. Lineage: Eukaryota; Metazoa; Chordata; Mammalia; Rodentia; Cricetidae. The record is from RefSeq and is a predicted model, not a curated record.
CGCGAACGUGGCCUGGGACCCCGGAUACUUGAGUUUUGGGGGGUCUAACAGAAGGACCAGAAUAAAUGUGCUUCCAUGAGUGUCUGCCCAGAGCAGUGGCUUUGUUCUUCUCUCAGACACAACAUCCUUCUGGGAAGGUGGGAAUUCCACAGCACAGCCUUGCAUCCUGGGCAUUUCCUGUCAGACAGAACUCUUCUGAACCCAGCCUCUCAGGGUCUUGUCAGGUUGACAUCCUGCAAGUUGGGACAACUGGCGCCCAAAGUGCAGCUGGAUAGAGUUGGGGAUCUGGGAACUUCAGUGCUCAUUAGAGGGACCGGCCCGUCCAUGCAGUGAGGCGUCCACAACAAGGUUGAUUGUGAGCCUCGGUUGGAGGAAGACCCAGCAGCCUGCCCAAUGCUUGGGACUUUCAGUUCAUGAGCACCACCUAUGUGGAAAAGGUGAGUAAUGGGACAAGCAUUUAACAAGGAAGAUUUAUAUCUUUCUGGGAUCAAAGAAUCCCUCAUGGUGAGAGAAGCUCAGGACAAAAAGAAACAAUUUAAAAAACUUCUUCCUCUUUAUCGGGGAUCUUUGUCCAUGGUUCCCGAAGGGAGGAACCAUUAAUGACAAGAAAUGGGCUAGAGUUGGCAACUGCCUCCAAGAGUUGAUCGUCUGGCAACAUGGCAGACUAGAUGGGUUUGUAAGACAGGAAGUGCAACAGUGUGGGAUGGGGCCAGGUUAGGGAAAGGUCAUCAGUAAGAAGCCCAUGUUAGGUUAGUUUAAAAAGUAAAAGAAAGAAAGCUCCACACCAUCUUCUUAAUGCUAUUAUGUUUGAAGCUGCCAGCGCUUCUUUGCUUCUGCACCUGGCUUGCGAAUUCGUCCACUGUUACAGUGGCCAAUGGUAACGUUCUCCUUGUUGAUUCUUGGGGAAUGCUGGGAAGCUGCAAGUGAGGUCAUGGAAUUAGAGAGUUGACAGUGAUACUAAGCUGGCUCUGCAGUGCAGGAGGCUAAGGAGAUGUGGAUGUCAGGAGGGACUCCUAUUAUAAGACUUUUGGGCCUGAAAAAAUCCCUGUCCAAAUCACCGCUCUUGGCAUUUCUACUUUUGCUUUUUGCAUGAGCCAGAAAUGUUUUCAGUAGUUUCUUUUCUUCUCUUUUUUUUUUCCUAAAGGAAUGGUGGUAUAAACCUAAUACAAUGCUUAGGAAUAGAGUAUACAGAGGGGCUAUAAGUGAGACCUGGCAAAGAAUUGAGCUGUGUAGCUAAGACCUCUGGAUCUGUAGUUAUGCGCAGAGGCCUUUCUGAAAGCUGUCUGAAGAUUUCCUGUCUUCUCAUUCUUCUCACUUAACCAUUCACUGACCACGUGCUUCUUUGUUUUGGGGUACUUUGUGGGGCAUUUCCUAAGUGCUGGAAUUUCCACGUCAGUAAUUAUUUCUGUUGCUGCAGUUUCAGUUUCUGGCUCUACAGCAAGUACAGUGUUUUAAAUAUCGUUAUGUUGUGACGUAACUUCAAUAUCAGGAGAAGAUGGCUGUAUGUCUGAACACAUGCUGAGGGUCCUGUGUCUCCGACACUGCUGUCCAAUGUCCCGAUCAACCCAUUCUACAUGCCCCCCCCCCCGAAAAUGACCUUGAUGACACUGACUCAAUGAUUGGCUUGGCUGGCUUCGCUUGUAUGGAACAAUAACCUCCUGUUGCUCCUUUUUGCUUCCUUCUACCUAUUCCUACUACUCCCCCAUGGUUAACCACCCUCCUCCCUUCCCUCCUUGGACCUUUGCUAGGGCUCCUCUUGUUAAUCUCCUUUGGCCCUUGGGCCUUUAAUUGACUUGUGGCCUUUGUCAAGCAGCAAGUGGACUCUGCCACUCAGCCUGUCCUGGCCCAAUACCAACCACUUCCCCACGGCCAGCUUCAGAGGUGCAGACCUGGCUGGUACUGCAAGGAGACCUCAUCUUAUGCCUAUGCACAAUGGGGUGGAUGUCCUAAAGCUUCCCCACCCCCACAAAAGGAAUCUGGACAGUCCUACCUUUCAGAUGGCUCCAAGAAGCUGUCCCUGAGAUCAGAGAAAAAUGUCCUUUAUAAAAUCCACAUGGAUUCUCCAAUUGGGGGCCAGGCCUCUAUCUCCCUCUGCUGAAAAAUUUGGC